Molecule: non-coding RNA, 48 nt
Filed under: Trichobilharzia regenti
Lineage: Eukaryota; Metazoa; Platyhelminthes; Trematoda; Strigeidida; Schistosomatidae
Source: RNAcentral
CUUUUGCUGAUGAGUCCUAAAUAGGACGAAAUGCGCGUUGUCCUGGAU